Molecule: ribosomal RNA, 191 nt
Filed under: uncultured bacterium
Lineage: Bacteria
Description: partial 16S ribosomal RNA
Rfam family: Bacterial small subunit ribosomal RNA
Source: RNAcentral
AACCCGCCUGCAUGAAGUCGGAAUUGCUAGUAAUCGCGGAUCAGCAUGCCGCGGUGAAUACGUUCCCGGGCCUUGUACACACCGCCCGUCACACCAUGGGAGCCGGUAAUACCCGAAGUCAGUAGUCCAACCUCGUGAGGACGCUGCCGAAGGUAGGAUUGGCGACUGGGGUGAAGUCGUAACAAGGUAGC